This is a long non-coding RNA of Uranotaenia lowii, 480 nucleotides long. RefSeq lists it as uncharacterized. The record is from RefSeq and is a predicted model, not a curated record. Lineage: Eukaryota; Metazoa; Arthropoda; Insecta; Diptera; Culicidae. The transcript is spliced from 3 exons.
CACUCACGCGCUACACCAACUGUCAUUACACCCAUCAAGAUCAUUUCCGCCAAAACGUUCGACUCAUGCAGACGAAGUGCCGCUAAUUUGUCGUGAAUAAAACCAGUGCUAGAUUGUUCGGUGAUCAAAAUUCCUGCAAAGUGAUUCCAACAAUCGCACGACUGGUGUUUUAAGGGGACAAAGCGGAGACAGCCUAUCUCCAAUGAUUCUAAGUCAAGGCUGAAGUACCACACACCGAGCGACUUUGACCACAAAACCCAUUAAGCCGACAGAGCGGUAACCUCUGCUAAAAGAAGGCGAAUUCUGGAAUCCCAGUGUAGUACACCUACAACAGCAUCCGGAAGCCUGAAAAGGCAGUUCAGUCGAACAUUAAAAUCAAACAGCACCUUGGCCAAAACACGGGUUCCAAAUUGAACAAACAUCGCCUGGUGGCGAUAAGCAAAAAACAUCGCAUCAAGCUCGUUAGAGAGAAGAUCCAUC